Molecule: long non-coding RNA, 508 nt
Organism: Oncorhynchus tshawytscha (Chinook salmon)
Lineage: Eukaryota; Metazoa; Chordata; Actinopteri; Salmoniformes; Salmonidae
Source: Ensembl
AGCCUAGUGGUUAGAUCGUUGGGCCAGUAACCAGCAGGUAGCCUAGUGGUUAGAGCGUUGGGACAGUAACCAGUAGGUAGCCUAGUGGUUAGAUCGUUGGGCCAGUAACCAGCAGGUAGCCUAGUGGUUAGAGCGUUGGGCCAGUAACCAGCAGGUAGCCUAGUGGUUAGAUCGUUGGGCCAGUAACCAGCAGGUAGCCUAGUGGUUAGAUCGUUGGGCCAGUAACCAGCAGGUAGCCUAGUGGUUAGAGCAGGUAGCCUAGUGGUUAGGGCGUUGGGCCAGUAACUAGCAGGUAGCCUAGUGGUUAGAGCGUUGGGCCAGUAACUAGCAGGUAGCCUAGUGGUUAGAGCGUUGGGCCAGUAACCAGCAGGUAGCCUAGUGGUUAGAUCGUUGGGCCAGUAACCAGCAGGUAGCCUAGUGGUUGAGGCGUUGGGCCAGUAACCAGCAGGUAGCCUAGUGGUUAGAGGCGUUGGGCCAGUAACCAGCAGGUAGCCUAGUGGUUAGAGGC